CACACCUCAGAUUUACCCCACUGAGGGGCGGUAGAGCUGGAGUAUUUAUAUACCAACUCCUAAGAGCCAGUGGUUGAGGGCUGUUCCUGAAGGAAUUCCCUGGUUUCUCUGAGAGGGGGCAAUGCCCUUAGGCACCCAAGAUGCAGAUAUUGGCAGUUGGAAGUUGGCAGGAAGUUCUGAGAGACUCCGGCAGGGCAAGGACAAGCUCUGGCUACCAAAAGAAAUGAUUAUUUUUUUCACAUGCUGAUUUUGGAGACCUGCAUUUGGCUGCCAGACCAUAACUGUGAAAAUGGCAAUCAGCUGAAAUAUAGAAGAAUAAAUAUAAAAGAAGUUACAUGUAUAAGGAGAAGGGUCUUCAUGCCCUUAGGUCAGUAUCCAUACUUGCCUCACAGCAGUCACAGUUCAACCAAGAUGAACCCAUAUCCUCAGAGAAGGCCCAGAACUUGUUUGCCUUCUGCAACUGAGGGAACCUGGUCUAGGACAGAAAAUAAGGACGAACAGCUGCCCAAGAUAUUCCACAAACAUCCCAUUAGCCCUUGUCCUGACGACAGCCCAUCCAUGCUUUCUGAAUUUGGCAUCAGCAGAACCUUCCAUACAUCACUAAAGGAAAGUGGCUGCCCCUCCCAGUGUGACCUUCUUCUGUGCAUUUUUGGGAUACAGUUUUCUCUGUAGUGAUUUAUUCACCAAUGUGCCCCUGCUUACUUUCUUUCCUUCCAGGAACUUACCAAAAUUUCUAAUCUACUGCUGGAUCCUAUUCUCAUUUUCCAUUCCAAUAUGUAGUUUAUGACAUCUCCAUAGUAUUUUGGAAGGGAGGAGGUAUAAACAUAGCCCAUUAUUUUGAACCAGAAUUAUUACCAGCUUCUGGUGCUAGAGUGGUUACUAUUGAUUUUCUAUUCUGGAUAAUACCUGCUGCUGCUCAGUCUGCACCCUUUCUCCUUUUGUUCCCUCCUUAAUUGAGGGUUCUAGAAGGUAGAAACUGCAUUCCCCCAGAUUCUCUUGUUGCCUACUAAGUUCUGCUGUAGGAAGCAUUUAAGUAAGAUUGCAAGGACAAAGAAGGGGGCAGUCGUUUUGCUUCCAGCUCCCGCAGGGGCAAUGGCCAACAAGUGCAGUUGACCGUGGUGACUGUGACCUUCAGUGGUAGCAGCAGAUCUGGGAACUGCAGGAGGCUGUGGUGAGGGUGACAGAUGCCCACAGGCUGUGAGAGCACUGGCAGCGAUGUCAGCAGCAAAUGCAUGUUCUGGGAUCUGGAUAGUAUCCUUCACCCCUUUAUAUUCCUCCAUCCAACCAAAAUUUCUGUAACAAGUUUCUUGCACUAAAUGCCCCUUCUAUUUGGAAUAUUUAUAGUAUUUCUGUUUUCCUGACUUGGCCCUGAUGUAUAUGUUCAUUAACAUUAUAUUCUCUGCCUUGCUUUGAGCUGAUGUGAUGCAUGAUUAAACUAUUAGCAUCAGUUCAAAGAAAGCAUGAUGUUCCACUCACAGUAACCCUGAGGUAGAUAUUUUUAUACCCAUUUGUGAUAAUUUGAAGCUGUUGUGAGUUCUAGUAGAGAUCAUGGAGCUAAUCAAUUCCUGACACUUUGACUGGAUUAGAUUCAUUUGGGGACCUUUGACUGGAGUAUUUCAGUGAGGUGUGACCCAGGGUGGGUCUCGGCCCUCUUGCUGGAGUCCUAUAUAAACAGGAGAAACAUGCAGAGAGACACAGAGAAAGAGAGCUGCUAUGUGAGAGAGGACUCCAGGAUCGCCUGCAGCUAAAGACAGACAGAGAAAUCCCAUAGGCUGAGAGGGAGGCCAGAGGCUAGAAUCAGCAGACCAUCCCAUAUCUGAAGAGAUGAGGCCCAGGAAGAGAAAAGCAUAAGCCUGAUUGCCCAAUUUUGAGCUCAGGGAUAAAGUGAGCCUAGGGGAGAAUGGUUGCCAUUUUGCCUGGCCACAUGGCAGCAGUCCAGGAUCAGUGGAGCAACCAAACUGGUGAAACCUCUUGGAUGAUGCCUUGACUUUAACAUUUUCACAGCCUCAGAACUGUAAGAUUUUAUCCUAAUAAAUUCCCAUUAUAAAAGCCAACCUAUUUCUGGUAUUUUUGCUUUGGCA
Long non-coding RNA from Dasypus novemcinctus (nine-banded armadillo), 2081 nucleotides. NCBI's taxonomy places the organism in Eukaryota, Metazoa, Chordata, Mammalia, Cingulata, Dasypodidae. The record is from Ensembl.